GGUACGGUAGACGUAAAAGCUUUGACGGCGUGCAUUUCUGCAGGUUAAAUUUUUAUAUUUUAGUGUUCAAGGAGUUAUAAGAGUUGUGUUCUAGAGUUUCAUCAUUCAUCUAAUAUUUAUUUCAACAUUAUGGAUAGUGAUUACUGCCCUAAAAUAACGAAAUCAAAAGUGUUUUGUUGUGUUUAUGGAAGCAACAGUAGAGCAAACAGAGAACCAGUUUCAUUCCAUAGCUUUCCCAAGAAUAACAGUUGUAAACUGGAAAUAACUAGCAAAAGUGGUAUUGUCGAGAAAUAAAUAACACCUUUUAUGAAAGUUUGUUCAAAGCAUUUUAAAGAGUCUGAUUUUCAUACACCAAGUAAGAGACCUGAGACCGAGAAAAUCUAACUUGAGACGCCGAAAUUUGAAAAGAAAUGCAGUCCCAACAAAAAACCUCCCUACAGGUACUCAUGAGAACAUAAAAAAAGAAAGAAAGACGGAAUUUAAGUAGAUAUGAUCCUGUACAACAACCAAUUUUGAAAUCUGACUGUGAAGUAAUGACACAAAAUCAAGAUGAGAAUGAACUUCAUGCUCAGGAAAUGAUUCAUAAUAUCAAAAUAUAUUCAUAGCUAGAGCAAGAGUCCAUAUUGAACGUGUGAACCAGAGGAUAAAAAUUUUCAAAAUUUUGAGUAAUGUAUUACCGUGGAACCUGGUUCCUAAAAUAGAAGAAAUAAUGAUUAUAUGUUGUGCGAUUGUAAACCUAUCCAGCCCCAUUUUUUCUGAAGAUAAUUUCUGAAUAUUUUUGUAUUUUGCCUUUAUUUCGAGUAGCAAUAUAGAUGUAAAAUCUAAAGCUUCUGUGUAGCGAAACAGUUGUUAUUUAUAUAUAUAU
Long non-coding RNA from Harmonia axyridis, 865 nucleotides. RefSeq lists it as uncharacterized. The record is from RefSeq and is a predicted model, not a curated record. The transcript is spliced from 4 exons. NCBI's taxonomy places the organism in Eukaryota, Metazoa, Arthropoda, Insecta, Coleoptera, Coccinellidae.